GAUGAACGCUAGCUACAGGCUUAACACAUGCAAGUCGAGGGGCAGCAUGAGGGUUAGCAAUAACUCUUGAUGGCGACCGGCGCAAGGGUGCGUAACGCGUGAGCAACUUGCCCGUUUCUGGGGAAUAACCGGUGGAAACGCCGACUAAUACCCCAUAGCAUUAAUUUCAGGCAUCUGUUAUCAAUUAAAGAAUUUCGGAAACGGAUAGGCUCGCGUGACAUUAGCUAGAUGGCGGGUAACGGCCCACCAUGGCUACGAUGUCUAGGGGUUCUGAGAGGAAGGUCCCCCACACUGGAACUGAGACACGGUCCAGACUCCUACGGGAGGCAGCAGUGAGGAAUAUUGGUCAAUGGUCGAGAGACUGAACCAGCCAUGCCGCGUGAAGGUGACGGCCCUAUGGGUCUUAAACUUCUUUUGUAAGGGAGCCAAUAAGUCUUACGUGUAGGAUGAUGAGAGUACCUUACGAAUAAGCAUCGGCUAACUCCGUGCCAGCAGCCG
Molecule: ribosomal RNA, 498 nt
Filed under: uncultured bacterium
Lineage: Bacteria
Description: bacterial SSU rRNA
Rfam family: Bacterial small subunit ribosomal RNA
Source: RNAcentral